This 1186-nucleotide ribosomal RNA is filed under the name marine metagenome. Its description in RNAcentral is "bacterial SSU rRNA". It matches the Rfam family "Bacterial small subunit ribosomal RNA", at positions 319 to 1520 of the family's 1533-position model. The record is from RNAcentral.
CUGAGACACGGCCCAGACUCCUACGGGAGGCAGCAGUGGGGAAUUUUCCGCAAUGGGCGAAAGCCUGACGGAGCAACGCCGCGUGAGGGAUGAAGGCCUCUGGGCUGUAAACCUCUUUUCUCAAGGAAGAAGAUCUGACGGUACUUGAGGAAUAAGCCACGGCUAAUUCCGUGCCAGCAGCCGCGGUAAUACGGGAGUGGCAAGCGUUAUCCGGAAUUAUUGGGCGUAAAGCGUCCGCAGGCGGCCUUUCAAGUCUGCUGUUAAAACGUGGAGCUUAACUCCAUCAUGGCAGUGGAAACUGUUGGGCUUGAGUGUGGUAGGGGCAGAGGGAAUUCCCGGUGUAGCGGUGAAAUGCGUAGAUAUCGGGAAGAACACCAGUGGCGAAGGCGCUCUGCUGGGCCAUAACUGACGCUCAUGGACGAAAGCCAGGGGAGCGAAAGGGAUUAGAUACCCCUGUAGUCCUGGCCGUAAACGAUGAACACUAGGUGUCGGGGGAAUCGACCCCCUCGGUGUCGUAGCCAACGCGUUAAGUGUUCCGCCUGGGGAGUACGCACGCAAGUGUGAAACUCAAAGGAAUUGACGGGGGCCCGCACAAGCGGUGGAGUAUGUGGUUUAAUUCGAUGCAACGCGAAGAACCUUACCAGGGUUUGACAUCCUGCGAAUCUCUUGGAAACGAGAGAGUGCCCUCGGGAACGCAGUGACAGGUGGUGCAUGGCUGUCGUCAGCUCGUGUCGUGAGAUGUUGGGUUAAGUCCCGCAACGAGCGCAACCCACGUCUUUAGUUGCCAGCAUUUAGUUGGGCACUCUAGAGAGACCGCCGGUGAUAAACCGGAGGAAGGUGUGGAUGACGUCAAGUCAUCAUGCCCCUUACAUCCUGGGCUACACACGUACUACAAUGCUACGGACAAAGAGCAGCAAGUUCGCGAGGACAAGCAAAUCUCAUAAACCGUGGCUCAGUUCAGAUCGUAGGCUGCAACUCGCCUACGUGAAGGAGGAAUCGCUAGUAAUCGCAGGUCAGCAUACUGCGGUGAAUACGUUCCCGGGCCUUGUACACACCGCCCGUCACACCAUGGAAGUUGGCCACGCCCGAAGCCGUUACUCCAACCCUUGUGGAGGAGGACGUCGAAGGUGGGGCUGAUGACUGGGGUGAAGUCGUAACAAGGUAGCCGUACCGGAAGGUGCGGCUG